CAUAUUUACCUUAUCUUUAUUUGAUUAAGAAAUAUAUUUCAAACAGAUUUACUACGAGUGCAUAAGGGUACCGAGCUGCAAAGUGACGUCAGAUCUGUCGUGCCCGCGUACUCUCUGCGUUUCAAACGACGCGAGCAUUGAAGGGGAGCAUUGAACGACGUUAUCACGGUAAUGAAGAGGAGAAGAGGAGGAGGGAGGGGAGAAAGAAAUAAAGCGGCAAAAAAAAA
Acromyrmex echinatior (Panamanian leafcutter ant) is the source of this 227-nucleotide long non-coding RNA. NCBI's taxonomy places the organism in Eukaryota, Metazoa, Arthropoda, Insecta, Hymenoptera, Formicidae. The record is from RefSeq and is a predicted model, not a curated record.